This 253-nucleotide ribosomal RNA is filed under the name uncultured bacterium. Its description in RNAcentral is "partial 16S ribosomal RNA". It matches the Rfam family "Bacterial small subunit ribosomal RNA", at positions 524 to 776 of the family's 1533-position model. The record is from RNAcentral.
UACGUAGGGUGCGAGCGUUAAUCGGAAUUACUGGGCGUAAAGCGUGCGCAGGCGGUUUUGUAAGUCAGAUGUGAAAUCCCUGGGCUUAACCUGGGAAUUGCAUUUGGGACUGCAAGGCUUGAGUACGGCAGAGGGGGGUGGAAUUCCUGGUGUAGCAGUGAAAUGCGUAGAUAUCGGGAGGAAUACCGAUGGCGAAGGCGGCCCCCUGGGUCGAUACUGACGCUCAUGCACGAAAGCGUGGGGAGCAAACAGG